Non-coding RNA from Canis lupus familiaris (dog), 72 nucleotides. Lineage: Eukaryota; Metazoa; Chordata; Mammalia; Carnivora; Canidae. The record is from Rfam.
GGCUCUGAGAACCAUGUCUGAUCAGAGCUGGGUACUGCCUGUUCAGAACAGACACCGGUCUCUAAGACGCAG